Molecule: long non-coding RNA, 374 nt
Filed under: Mytilus galloprovincialis (Mediterranean mussel)
Lineage: Eukaryota; Metazoa; Mollusca; Bivalvia; Mytilida; Mytilidae
Source: RNAcentral
CUGUUUUGAACUAUUUAUUUGUUAGCACCAAGAUAAUACACAAUGUUGUAUUUGCAUUAAUUAAAAACAAAUCAUUUUGAAACAUUACAUUAGAUAAACAAUUAUGAUGAUGAUAUCGACAUAUACAGCUAAAUAAAAAUGUAAAAAAACUCUACUUUUUUGCUGCAUCGCUUCACUCCAGCUAAAUGGCUAAUUAGCUCGAGGUCAUAAACAAUUUAAAUGUCUUCAAAACUCAAAUACUAUAAUGAGGUUUUGUGAUUGACUUAUAAAUAAUAAGCUAACAAAACAUAAAGAGCAAUAUUACAUUAGAUAAACAAUUAUCUGCUUUUAAUGCAGGUUAAAAACAUAGUUAUAUAGGAAUAUCAACAACAUGU